UUAACUCAAAUUUGUAUGGAGUUAGAACGUUUGCUACGUUGCCGCUAGGGGCGCUGUUCCAACUGCAUACAAAUUUGAGUUA
Bombyx mori (domestic silkworm) is the source of this 82-nucleotide non-coding RNA. NCBI's taxonomy places the organism in Eukaryota, Metazoa, Arthropoda, Insecta, Lepidoptera, Bombycidae. The record is from Rfam.